GCGUUCGUGGUGUAAUGGUCAGCACAAUCGGCGCGUAUUCGAGAGGGCCGAGGUUUGAAUCCUGUCGAAGGCA
RNAcentral lists this transfer RNA (73 nucleotides) under Stegodyphus mimosarum. It matches the Rfam family "tRNA". Rfam says of the family: Transfer RNA (tRNA) molecules are approximately 80 nucleotides in length. Lineage: Eukaryota; Metazoa; Arthropoda; Arachnida; Araneae; Eresidae. The record is from Rfam by way of RNAcentral.